This 945-nucleotide ribosomal RNA is filed under the name uncultured Alteromonadaceae bacterium. Its description in RNAcentral is "bacterial SSU rRNA". It matches the Rfam family "Bacterial small subunit ribosomal RNA", at positions 67 to 1009 of the family's 1533-position model. Lineage: Bacteria; Pseudomonadati; Pseudomonadota; Gammaproteobacteria; Alteromonadales; Alteromonadaceae. The record is from RNAcentral.
UGGUAACAGGAUUAGCUUGCUAAUCGCUGACGAGUGGCGGACGGGUGAGUAAUGCUUGGGAAUUUGCCUUUAGGAGGGGGAUAACAGUUGGAAACGACUGCUAAUACCGCAUAAUGUCUACGGACCAAAGGGGGCCUCGGCUCCCACCUAUAGAGAAGCCCAAGUGAGAUUAGCUAGUUGGUGAGGUAAAGGCUCACCAAGGCGACGAUCUCUAGCUGUUCUGAGAGGAAGAUCAGCCACACUGGGACUGAGACACGGCCCAGACUCCUACGGGAGGCAGCAGUGGGGAAUAUUGCACAAUGGGGGAAACCCUGAUGCAGCCAUGCCGCGUGUGUGAAGAAGGCCUUCGGGUUGUAAAGCACUUUCAGUUGUGAGGAAAGGUUAAUGGUUAAUACCCAUUAGCUGUGACGUUAGCAACAGAAGAAGCACCGGCUAACUCCGUGCCAGCAGCCGCGGUAAUACGGAGGGUGCAAGCGUUAAUCGGAAUUACUGGGCGUGAAGCGCACGCAGGCGGUUUGUUAAGCUAGAUGUGAAUGCCCCGGGCUCAACCUGGGAUGGUCAUUUAGAACUGGCAGACUAGAGUUUUGGAGAGGGGAGUGGAAUUCCAGGUGUAGCGGUGAAAUGCGUAGAUAUCUGGAGGAACAUCAGUGGCGAAGGCGACUCUCUGGCCAAAGACUGACGCUCAUGUGCGAAAGUGUGGGUAGCGAACAGGAUUAGAUACCCUGGUAGUCCACACCGUAAACGCUGUCUACUAGCUGUGUGUGUAUUUAAUACGUGCGUAGCGAAGCUAACGCGCUAAGUAGACCGCCUGGGGAGUACGGCCGCAAGGUUAAAACUCAAAUGAAUUGACGGGGGCCCGCACAAGCGGUGGAGCAUGUGGUUUAAUUCGAUGCAACGCGAAGAACCUUACCUACACUUGACAUGCAGAGAACUUUCCAGAGAUGG